AACGAACGCUGGCGGCGCGUUUUACGCAUGCAAGUCGGACGGCAAUUGUUGUAGCAAUAUGACGAUGAGAGUGGCAAACGGGUGAGUAACACGUAGGUGAUCUACCCCUGGACGGGGGAUAGUCCGUGGAAACACGGGGUAAUACCGCAUGAGGCCUUAUGGGUAAAGCCAUGAGGUGAAAGGUCCAAUUGGACCAUCUGGGGAUGAGCCUGCGGCCCAUUAGGUAGUUGGCGGGGUAAGAGCCCACCAAGCCGACGAUGGGUAGCCGGCCUGAGAGGGUGGACGGCCACACUGGAACUGAGACACGGUCCAGACUCCUACGGGUGGCAGU
RNAcentral lists this ribosomal RNA (331 nucleotides) under uncultured Spirochaetota bacterium. Its description in RNAcentral is "bacterial SSU rRNA". It matches the Rfam family "Bacterial small subunit ribosomal RNA", at positions 29 to 352 of the family's 1533-position model. Lineage: Bacteria; Pseudomonadati; Spirochaetota. The record is from RNAcentral.